Microplitis mediator is the source of this 891-nucleotide long non-coding RNA. RefSeq lists it as uncharacterized. Lineage: Eukaryota; Metazoa; Arthropoda; Insecta; Hymenoptera; Braconidae. The transcript has 3 exons. The record is from RefSeq and is a predicted model, not a curated record.
UAAAAGAAUGAGGUAAAAGCUCUUGCUUUCAACAAUUCAUCACUGUCUCCAAUGGCUACAUAAAAUUUUUAUCUACAAACUUUGUAAUUCUUUAUUAUCAAGUUCUCACCAUCAGUGUUGUGAAAAAUUUCUUCUGUCUGUUUCAAUUCAAACCGUUAUCGUCUUUCAUUACCACUUUGUAUGACGCCACUACGUCUAUCUAUCGACCAACUUUGUAUCACUUCCAAUCGGAUUUACAAGAAUUGAUUUGUCGGAUAAAUAUUAGUCGUUAAUAUUGUCAUCGGUUUUCCUUUGCUGUUAUCACAAAUAAUAAAAUGUGAGUCAUUGAAAACUAGUUAGAUAAUGAAUAAUUAAACAACUACAGCUCGAAUGUUGUUACGUGAAAAUGUUAUGUUUAAAAAAAUUUUGUAUAAUAUUUAAUUGCAACGUUUUUUGUAAAUUUAAAAAAAAAAUGUAAUAUUUGAUAUUUUUUAAAAUUUUGAUUCAAUGAGACCUCGCGUGUAGACGGAAGUCGUUGGAAAAAGAGUGAAAACUCUAGACUUCAAAAUGUGAAACAUCAAGGAACUUUUUUUGAACGUUUACGAAAUUUUUGACAGUUCGAAGAAAAAAUUGAUGGAUGCUAAAAAAAAGUUCGUCAUUGUGUCACAUUUUGACGUUCAAAAUAGUCAGCGUUUUUAAAACGAUUUUUUGAUAUGGGUACUAAUUGGAUAAAAGUUUACUAAUUAAUCUAACAUCUCAUACAUGAGAAAAAAAAAAAUGUUUUCAAAUAAUAAUUUUAGGAUCUUUUCUGAUUAUAAAAUUCAAAGUACAUUUGAAACUGUAUAAUUUACUACUGAGAGUAAAAUCAUUAUUUAAAAAUGUAUUUUUUUUUUUAAAUUUCUAAUAUGGAAC